This 67-nucleotide transfer RNA is filed under the name Alligator mississippiensis (American alligator). It matches the Rfam family "tRNA". Rfam says of the family: Transfer RNA (tRNA) molecules are approximately 80 nucleotides in length. Lineage: Eukaryota; Metazoa; Chordata; Crocodylia; Alligatoridae. The record is from Rfam by way of RNAcentral.
GCAGUUGUGGUUCAGUGGUAGAAUCUUUGUCUGCCACGCAAGAAACCUGGUCCAAUUCCCAGAUGCA